GACGAACGCUGGCGGCGUGCUUAACACAUGCAAGUCGAACGGAAAGGCCCUGCUUUUGUGGGGUGCUCGAGUGGCGAACGGGUGAGUAACACGUGAGUAACCUGCCCUUGACUUUGGGAUAACUUCAGGAAACUGGGGCUAAUACCGGAUAGGAGCUCCUGCUGCAUGGUGGGGGUUGGAAAGUUUCGGCGGUUGGGGAUGGACUCGCGGCUUAUCAGCUUGUUGGUGGGGUAGUGGCUUACCAAGGCUUUGACGGGUAGCCGGCCUGAGAGGGUGACCGGCCACAUUGGGACUGAGAUACGGACCAGACUCCUACGGGAGGCAGCAGUGGGGAAUAUUGCACAAUGGGCGGAAGCCUGAUGCAGAAACGCCGGGUGCGGGAUGACGGCCUUCGGGUUGUAAACCGCUUUCGCCUGUGACGAAGCGUGAGUGACGGUAAUGGGUAAAGAAGCAACGGCUAACUACGUG
This 468-nucleotide ribosomal RNA is filed under the name uncultured bacterium. Its description in RNAcentral is "partial 16S ribosomal RNA". It matches the Rfam family "Bacterial small subunit ribosomal RNA", at positions 28 to 507 of the family's 1533-position model. The record is from RNAcentral.